GGACAACCUACCCUUCGGUCCGGCAUAAUCCUGGGAAACUGGGGAUAAUUCCGGAUAGGCCACAUAAGCUGGAAUGCUCUGUGGCCCAAAGCUUUUGCGCCGAAGGAUGGGUCUGCGGCCUAUCAGGGUUGUAGUGGGUGUAAUGUACCUACUAGCCUACGACGGGUACGGGUUGUGAGAGCAAGAGCCCGGAGAUGGAUUCUGAGACACGAAUCCAGGCCCUACGGGGUGCAGCAGGCGCGAAAACUUUACAAUGCGGGAAACCGUGAUAAGGGAAUCUCGAGUGCCAGCAUAUAAUGUUGGCUGUCCAGAUGCCUAAAAAGCAUCUGUUAGCAAGGGCCGGGCAAGACCGGUGCCAGCCGCCGCGGUAACACCGGCGGCCCGAGUGGUAACCGCUAUUAUUGGGUCUAAAGGGUCUGUAGCCGGCCAGGUAAGUCCCUUGGGAAAUCUGGCAGCUCAACUGUCAGGCUGCUAGGGGAUACUGUUUGGCUUGGGACCGGGAGAGGUGAGAGGUACCUUGGGGGUAGGGGUGAAAUCUUGUGAUCCUCGGGGGACCACCAGUGGCGAAGGCGUCUCACCAGAACGGGUCCGACGGUAAGGGACGAAAGCUAGGGGCACGAACCGGAUUAGAUACCCGGGUAGUCCUAGCCGUAAACGAUGCUCGCUAGGUGUCAGUCACGGUGCGACCGUGAUUGGUGCCGUAGGGAAGCCGUGAAGCGAGCCACCUGGGAAGUAUGGCCGCAAGGCUGAAACUUAA
Molecule: ribosomal RNA, 757 nt
Filed under: uncultured archaeon
Lineage: Archaea
Description: bacterial SSU rRNA
Rfam family: Archaeal small subunit ribosomal RNA
Source: RNAcentral